CUACGGGAUGCUCCAGUGGGGAAUAUUGGACAAUGGGCGCAAGCCUGAUCCAGCAAUGCCGCGUGAGUGAAGACGGCCUUAGGGUUGUAAAACUCUUUCGCUAGGGAAGAUAAUGACUGUACCUAGUAAAGAAGUCCCGGCUAACUCCGUGCCAGCAGCCGCGGUAAUACGGAGGGGACUAGCGUUGUUCGGAAUUACUGGGCGUAAAGAGUUCGUAGGCGGACUGACAAGUUAGAGGUGAAAUACCAGGGCUCAACCCUGGAACUGCCUUUAAAACUGUCAGUCUAGAGACCGGAAGAGGUUAGGGGAAUACCUAGUGUAGAGGUGAAAUUCGUAGAUAUUAGGUGGAACACCAGUGGCGAAGGCGCCUAACUGGUCCGGUACUGACGCUGAGGAACGAAAGCGUGGGGAGCAAACAGGAUUAGAUACCCUGGUAGUC
Molecule: ribosomal RNA, 439 nt
Filed under: uncultured bacterium
Lineage: Bacteria
Description: partial 16S ribosomal RNA
Rfam family: Bacterial small subunit ribosomal RNA
Source: RNAcentral